GGUUAAGCGACUAAGCGUACACGGUGGAUGCCCUGGCAGUCAGAGGCGAUGAAGGACGUGCUAAUCUGCGAUAAGCGUCGGUAAGGUGAUAUGAACCGUUAUAACCGGCGAUUUCCGAAUGGGGAAACCCAGUGUGUUUCGACACACUAUCAUUAACUGAAUCCAUAGGUUAAUGAGGCGAACCGGGGGAACUGAAACAUCUAAGUACCCCGAGGAAAAGAAAUCAACCGAGAUUCCCCCAGUAGCGGCGAGCGAACGGGGAGCAGCCCAGAGCCUGAAUCAGUGUGUGUGUUAGUGGAAGCGUCUGGAAAGGCGCGCGAUACAGGGUGACAGCCCCGUACACAAAAAUGCACAUGCUGUGAGCUCGAUGAGUAGGGCGGGACACGUGGUAUCCUGUCUGAAUAUGGGGGGACCAUCCUCCAAGGCUAAAUACUCCUGACUGACCGAUAGUGAACCAGUACCGUGAGGGAAAGGCGAAAAGAACCCCGGCGAGGGGAGUGAAAAAGAACCUGAAACCGUGUACGUACAAGCAGUGGGAGCACGCUUAGGCGUGUGACUGCGUACCUUUUGUAUAAUGGGUCAGCGACUUAUAUUCUGUAGCAAGGUUAACCGAAUAGGGGAGCCGAAGGGAAACCGAGUCUUAACUGGGCGUUAAGUUGCAGGGUAUAGACCCGAAACCCGGUGAUCUAGCCAUGGGCAGGUUGAAGGUUGGGUAACACUAACUGGAGGACCGAACCGACUAAUGUUGAAAAAUUAGCGGAUGACUUGUGGCUGGGGGUGAAAGGCCAAUCAAACCGGGAGAUAGCUGGUUCUCCCCGAAAGCUAUUUAGGUAGCGCCUCGUGAAUUCAUCUCCGGGGGUAGAGCACUGUUUCGGCAAGGGGGUCAUCCCGACUUACCAACCCGAUGCAAACUGCGAAUACCGGAGAAUGUUAUCACGGGAGACACACGGCGGGUGCUAACGUCCGUCGUGAAGAGGGAAACAACCCAGACCGCCAGCUAAGGUCCCAAAGUCAUGGUUAAGUGGGAAACGAUGUGGGAAGGCCCAGACAGCCAGGAUGUUGGCUUAGAAGCAGCCAUCAUUUAAAGAAAGCGUAAUAGCUCACUGGUCGAGUCGGCCUGCGCGGAAGAUGUAACGGGGCUAAACCAUGCACCGAAGCUGCGGCAGCGACACUAUGUGUUGUUGGGUAGGGGAGCGUUCUGUAAGCCUGUGAAGGUGUGCUGUGAGGCAUGCUGGAGGUAUCAGAAGUGCGAAUGCUGACAUAAGUAACGAUAAAGCGGGUGAAAAGCCCGCUCGCCGGAAGACCAAGGGUUCCUGUCCAACGUUAAUCGGGGCAGGGUGAGUCGACCCCUAAGGCGAGGCCGAAAGGCGUAGUCGAUGGGAAACAGGUUAAUAUUCCUGUACUUGGUGUUACUGCGAAGGGGGGACGGAGAAGGCUAUGUUGGCCGGGCGACGGUUGUCCCGGUUUAAGCGUGUAGGCUGGUUUUCCAGGCAAAUCCGGAAAAUCAAGGCUGAGGCGUGAUGACGAGGCACUACGGUGCUGAAGCAACAAAUGCCCUGCUUCCAGGAAAAGCCUCUAAGCAUCAGGUAACAUCAAAUCGUACCCCAAACCGACACAGGUGGUCAGGUAGAGAAUACCAAGGCGCUUGAGAGAACUCGGGUGAAGGAACUAGGCAAAAUGGUGCCGUAACUUCGGGAGAAGGCACGCUGAUAUGUAGGUGAAGUCCCUUGCGGAUGGAGCUGAAAUCAGUCGAAGAUACCAGCUGGCUGCAACUGUUUAUUAAAAACACAGCACUGUGCAAACACGAAAGUGGACGUAUACGGUGUGACGCCUGCCCGGUGCCGGAAGGUUAAUUGAUGGGGUUAGCCGCAAGGCGAAGCUCUUGAUCGAAGCCCCGGUAAACGGCGGCCGUAACUAUAACGGUCCUAAGGUAGCGAAAUUCCUUGUCGGGUAAGUUCCGACCUGCACGAAUGGCGUAAUGAUGGCCAGGCUGUCUCCACCCGAGACUCAGUGAAAUUGAACUCGCUGUGAAGAUGCAGUGUACCCGCGGCAAGACGGAAAGACCCCGUGAACCUUUACUAUAGCUUGACACUGAACAUUGAGCCUUGAUGUGUAGGAUAGGUGGGAGGCUUUGAAGUGUGGACGCCAGUCUGCAUGGAGCCGACCUUGAAAUACCACCCUUUAAUGUUUGAUGUUCUAACGUUGACCCGUAAUCCGGGUUGCGGACAGUGUCUGGUGGGUAGUUUGACUGGGGCGGUCUCCUCCUAAAGAGUAACGGAGGAGCACGAAGGUUGGCUAAUCCUGGUCGGACAUCAGGAGGUUAGUGCAAUGGCAUAAGCCAGCUUGACUGCGAGCGUGACGGCGCGAGCAGGUGCGAAAGCAGGUCAUAGUGAUCCGGUGGUUCUGAAUGGAAGGGCCAUCGCUCAACGGAUAAAAGGUACUCCGGGGAUAACAGGCUGAUACCGCCCAAGAGUUCAUAUCGACGGCGGUGUUUGGCACCUCGAUGUCGGCUCAUCACAUCCUGGGGCUGAAGUAGGUCCCAAGGGUAUGGCUGUUCGCCAUUUAAAGUGGUACGCGAGCUGGGUUUAGAACGUCGUGAGACAGUUCGGUCCCUAUCUGCCGUGGGCGCUGGAGAACUGAGGGGGGCUGCUCCUAGUACGAGAGGACCGGAGUGGACGCAUCACUGGUGUUCGGGUUGUCAUGCCAAUGGCACUGCCCGGUAGCUAAAUGCGGAAGAGAUAAGUGCUGAAAGCAUCUAAGCACGAAACUUGCCCCGAGAUGAGUUCUCCCUGACCCUUUAAGGGUCCUGAAGGAACGUUGAAGACGACGACGUUGAUAGGCCGGGUGUGUAAGCGCAGCGAUGCGUUGAGCUAACCGGUACUAAUGAACCGUGAGGCUUAACCUU
RNAcentral lists this ribosomal RNA (2905 nucleotides) under Escherichia coli. Its description in RNAcentral is "23S ribosomal RNA". It matches the Rfam family "Bacterial large subunit ribosomal RNA". Lineage: Bacteria; Pseudomonadati; Pseudomonadota; Gammaproteobacteria; Enterobacterales; Enterobacteriaceae. The record is from RNAcentral.